RNAcentral lists this long non-coding RNA (233 nucleotides) under Elaeis guineensis (African oil palm). RNAcentral's name for it is "long non-coding RNA (EGUI_LNC001372)". The record is from RNAcentral. Lineage: Eukaryota; Viridiplantae; Streptophyta; Magnoliopsida; Arecales; Arecaceae.
CGCCCCUUGCUUAAUUGUUCCUAAAAGUUGAACACGAAAAUAUGCAUCAGGUUAGCCCUCAUAGAAGCUAAUAUGGGAUAAACUUGGGGUACAGUUGGACCUGGAGCGAGGUUCGUACAUAUGGAGGCUUCUCUUAGAAGAGAUUUCAGUACAUCUGGUUUUGUUAUCUAUAUCUGAUUGGUGGUGAGUUUGAGAAUGUUUUCUUAAUUUUAACCUUUCCCAUGCCAGCCAUA